GGGAGGUCCCGGGCGAAGGCUGCCCGCCGUCAGGCCAGCUAGGCCUUCCCAGGGAUGAGUCCCUUUGGAGUGCCCUCCAGGACUCGCACUCAGAAGGAAUGCUGCCCAAUCCGUGGGGGAAGUUAUAACCCAAACCGGAAGAGUUCAGUUUAAAUUCAUGUUAGACUAUGCAGGAAAAGGAGAGACCCGUCUCCUUAAAAACAAUUUAAAGUGGCCUCUUAGGAAUACUCUCGAGUGUAACAACUCAGACUAUCCAGGAAAUGAUAAAUACAAACAGUCAUCAGAAAUGAUAGCUCACUUACUAAGAUUUCUCCCUUUGAGUCAGAUUUCAACACAUAACAUGCUUGUAUGUGUGCAUAUCUGAGGAGCUUAUGUUGGCGUUCAUAGUUUUUAAACGUUAAGAAUAUACUUUCUCAGGAUCUCACUAUGUCCACCAAGCUGGUCUUUAAACUCACAAGAGAACUACUUGCCAACCUAGUCCUGGGAUUAAAGGUGUACACCAUCAGGCCCGGCUAGAACUCCUGGACAACCUUGAGUCUCACUGAAGGGAACACUGCUUGGCUACAAGGAGCAACAUUUCAGAGUGAAACUGCACUUCUGCUGACACUGCAGGUACAUGGCAUUCAACAACAGUGACUACUAGCAGUGUCGAAUGCCAGUGUUGAGCAACCCAACCUACAGUGCCUCUGUACCAUCAGGAGAUGUCAACACUAGGAAACAGUCAAAUAAUCUAUCAGUCUGAUGACAGCAGUUCUGACUUGAAGGCGCCAAAGUGUCUUGGAAAUAUCCAUAUCCAUGAAUUGCAGUUUAAGGACUAUCGUCUAUAGAAUUACAUGCCUGGGACAAGGCACAGAGGGACUCCGAAUGCCUGAGGGACCAGCAGAUACACAACCCUUACCUCACUCUCAAUCUCAACAGAGUGGAGACUGGAACUGCCUACAUUAAAUUCCUAUCUGACUA
Molecule: long non-coding RNA, 960 nt
Organism: Peromyscus eremicus (cactus mouse)
Lineage: Eukaryota; Metazoa; Chordata; Mammalia; Rodentia; Cricetidae
Exons: 2
Source: RefSeq, a predicted model, not a curated record